AUGACAGCCUUUAAUAUUAAUCAAACUUUAAGGCCUUUUCCCUCUCCCACUGUUAGAUCGUCACGGAGGAGUCAGAGCUUGUCUGAUGGUGCUGCUGAUCCCCAUUCAGCAACGCAUUUAAGCAUCUGUUUAUGGCUGUUACAGUCCUGUGGCCAUUCAUCCUGCAAACUGCAGGGGAGCAUGUUUACAGUGGAUUCCCACAUCAGAAGUAGUGACAUCAGUGAUUCCUCUUGCAAUUUCCCAUCGGUGCCCCAGGGACAGGGCUGGUCUUCCUUUGGUAGCACGCGCUGAGGUCUGGGGACAGCAGGUGCUGUGAUACGCCGAAGUGCUCAUGCUCUCCUGAGGCGUUAAAGCCAGGGUAAGUCGCAGGAGUCACUGCAGUGCUUAGCCUGUACGAGGCUCUGAUAGCUCGUUAUUUCUUUAU
Molecule: long non-coding RNA, 424 nt
Filed under: Anser brachyrhynchus (Pink-footed goose)
Lineage: Eukaryota; Metazoa; Chordata; Aves; Anseriformes; Anatidae
Description: lncRNA (ENSABRG00000012790.1)
Source: RNAcentral